RNAcentral lists this transfer RNA (73 nucleotides) under Deltaproteobacteria bacterium. RNAcentral's name for it is "tRNA-Thr". It matches the Rfam family "tRNA". Rfam says of the family: Transfer RNA (tRNA) molecules are approximately 80 nucleotides in length. The record is from RNAcentral. Lineage: Bacteria; Pseudomonadati; Myxococcota; Myxococcia.
GCUGGCGUAGCUCAGUUGGUAGAGCAUCUGCCUUGUAAGCAGGGGGUCACGGGUUCAACUCCCGUCGCCAGCU